CUUAAUGUCUUAAGUAAGUCCUUAAUUUGGAAUACAGAAACCAGUAUAAUUUUAAAAAGAAAAAUAUUCUUUGUAGAAACUGUAAAUUCUCCCAUUAUAACAGUGAACAGAGCUCCAGGUAAUAAUGCAUAGGCAUGUCAGGUUGCAUCUGUAUACUUGACUACAUUAGUAUUAGUGAUAUCAGAUGGAUAUAAAAGAAAACCCUUGGAAAGAGAAGUGCCUUAGCCAUGAUUUCAGAGAGAAACCAUUAGUAGACCUAUUUAUGAUUCUAUUACAGUUUUCAGAUAGGAUGUGAACAUGGAAUUUCAUUGAAAAUAGUUUAAUUUUUUAUAUAAAAGGUUAUGUAUAUAAUGUGUAUCAGUGACUAUUUUCAAAAUCAUUUUCAUCAAGACACCUUUUUUCUAAAAUGGGCAUUGUAUACACACAUGCACACACAUGUACAUGCACACGCACACAUUAUUUUUUAUAGUGUAGGGUUUGAUUAUAAAAGUGUUGUCAAAUCUGUUUUAUUUAUCUGCAUAUAGCAGUGAUUGGCUUUUUUGAAUUGAAAUUUUUGCACAUUGAUGCAUUGAAAUAAGGAAAAUUAUUUAUCUCUGAGCACUAAACUUACUUUUGCAUAUUUCUGUAAUAUUGCAAUCCCCAGAUCCAGAUCGUGGGAAGUUAGGGAAAAUGUGUGAUUUUGUGUUUUGAAUUACUGUCAGAAUUACAUACACAAUUACAACAAACUUUAUUUAAAGGACAUUUCAUUGUACUGCAAAAAUCUCAAUAUUUAUAUUUCUUGUUUUUCUCUUUAUAUAUUUUGCAUUUUAAUAUAUUGAGCCACUGGAAAUUUGUAACAGAUUAAUUUGUUAUAGGAGUUUAAAUGUGUUGUCAUUGUCUCCAUUGUCUUUGUCCAGAGCCUAUUAUUAUGGAAACAA
This 917-nucleotide long non-coding RNA is filed under the name Homo sapiens (human). RNAcentral's name for it is "HSALNT0090732". Lineage: Eukaryota; Metazoa; Chordata; Mammalia; Primates; Hominidae. The record is from RNAcentral.